RNAcentral lists this ribosomal RNA (461 nucleotides) under Fusarium sp. IK-2015. Its description in RNAcentral is "eukaryotic LSU rRNA". The stretch from base 113 to 266 matches the Rfam family "5.8S ribosomal RNA". The record is from RNAcentral. Lineage: Eukaryota; Fungi; Ascomycota; Sordariomycetes; Hypocreales; Nectriaceae.
CUUGUUGCCUCGGCGGAUCAGCCCGCUCCCGGUAAAACGGGACGGCCCGCCAGAGGACCCCUAAACUCUGUUUUCUAUAUGUAACUUCUGAGUAAAACCAUAAAUAAAUCAAAACUUUCAACAACGGAUCUCUUGGUUCUGGCAUCGAUGAAGAACGCAGCAAAAUGCGAUAAGUAAUGUGAAUUGCAGAAUUCAGUGAAUCAUCGAAUCUUUGAACGCACAUUGCGCCCGCCAGUAUUCUGGCGGGCAUGCCUGUUCGAGCGUCAUUUCAACCCUCAAGCACAGCUUGGUGUUGGGACUCGCGUUAAUUCGCGUUCCUCAAAUUGAUUGGCGGUCACGUCGAGCUUCCAUAGCGUAGUAGUAAAACCCUCGUUACUGGUAAUCGUCGCGGCCACGCCGUUAAACCCCAACUUCUGAAUGUUGACCUCGGAUCAGGUAGGAAUACCCGCUGAACUUAAGCA